Molecule: ribosomal RNA, 253 nt
Filed under: uncultured bacterium
Lineage: Bacteria
Description: partial 16S ribosomal RNA
Rfam family: Bacterial small subunit ribosomal RNA
Source: RNAcentral
UACGUAGGGACCAAGCGUUGUCCGGAUUUACUGGGCGUAAAAGGUUCGUAGGUGGCUCGUCCAGUCGAGCGUGAAAUCUCCCGGCUUAACUGGGAGAGGUCGUUCGAUACUAGCGGGCUCGAGGUCGGUAGAGGGGAGCGGAAUUCCGGGUGUAGUGGUGGAAUACGUAGAUAUCCGGAGGAACACCAGUGGCGAAGGCGGCUUCCUGGACCGAUUCUGACACUGAGGAACGAAAGCGUGGGGAGCGAUCCGG